RNAcentral lists this ribosomal RNA (253 nucleotides) under uncultured bacterium. Its description in RNAcentral is "partial 16S ribosomal RNA". It matches the Rfam family "Bacterial small subunit ribosomal RNA", at positions 524 to 776 of the family's 1533-position model. The record is from RNAcentral.
UACGGAGGAUGCAAGCGUUAUCCGGAAUGAUUGGGCGUAAAGCGUCCGCAGGUGGCUGUGUAAGUCUGCUGUCAAAGAGCGAAGCUCAACUUCGUAAAGGCAGUGGAAACUACACGGCUAGAGUGCGUUCGGGGCAGAGGGAAUUCCUGGUGUAGCGGUGAAAUGCGUAGAGAUCAGGAAGAACACCGGUGGCGAAAGCGCUCUGCUAGGCCGCAACUGACACUCAUGGACGAAAGCUAGGGGAGCGAAUGGG